GAUGAACGCUAGCUACAGGCUUAACACAUGCAAGUCGAGGGGCAGCAUUUUAGUUUGCUUGCAAACUGAAGAUGGCGACCGGCGCACGGGUGAGUAACACGUAUCCAACCUGCCGAUAACUCCGGAAUAGCCUUUCGAAAGAAAGAUUAAUACCGGAUAGCAUACGAAUAUCGCAUGAUAUUUUUAUUAAAGAAUUUCGGUUAUCGAUGGGGAUGCGUUCCAUUAGUUUGUUGGCGGGGUAACGGCCCACCAAGACUACGAUGGAUAGGGGUUCUGAGAGGAAGGUCCCCCACAUUGGAACUGAGACACGGUCCAAACUCCUACGGGAGGCAGCAGUGAGGAAUAUUGGUCAAUGGGCGAGAGCCUGAACCAGCCAAGUAGCGUGAAGGAUGAAGGCUCUAUGGGUCGUAAACUUCUUUUAUAUGGGAAUAAAGUUUUCCACGUGUGGAAUUUUGUAUGUACCAUAUGAAUAAGGAUCGGCUAACUCCGUGCCAGCAGCCGCGGUAAUACGGAGGACCCGAGCGUUAUCCGGAUUUAUUGGGUUUAAAGGGAGCGUAGGUGGAUUGUUAAGUCAGUUGUGAAAGGUUGGCGGCUCAACCGUAAAAUUGCAGUUGGAAACUGGCAGUCUGAGUACAGUAGAGGUGGGCGGAAUUCGUGGUGUAAGCGGUGAAAUGCUUAGAUAUCACGAAAGAACUCCGAUUGCGAAGGCAGCUCACUAGACUGUCAAUGACAAUGAUGCUCGAAAAGGGUGGGUAUCAAACA
Molecule: ribosomal RNA, 762 nt
Filed under: uncultured bacterium
Lineage: Bacteria
Description: bacterial SSU rRNA
Rfam family: Bacterial small subunit ribosomal RNA
Source: RNAcentral